UACAGUUGGGGUAAAUAAACUUUUUUGGUUAAUUAUUGUUAUGUUUUAUUAUAGGAUUUUUUUUUGUACAUUUAAGGUGAAAUUUCAAUUUACUUUGAUUAGUCUUGGUUAAUUAUUAAUAUAAGAAAGUGCAUUUUGAGACUAGGAUUAGAUACCCUAUUAUUUGCAUUGUAAAAUUUGGGCCUUAGUAUUAAUAGUUAUGAUCUUUAAAUUAAAAGAAUUUGGCGGUAACUUAAUCUUUCCAGAGGAACCUGUCCUGUAAUUGAUAAUCCACGUUGAAUUUUACUAUAAUUAAAGCUUGUAUACCUCUGUCAUUGAAUGUCUUGGGAAAGUAUUUUCUUUAAUCUUUUUGGGGAAUAAUGUUAGGUCAAGGUGCAGCAAUAUUGUAGGUAGAGAUGGGUUACAUUUAAUUUAUUAUUGGAUCUUUUGAUGUAAAUUUGUCUUGAGUGAAAUUGGAUUUGGAAGUAAUUAUUAUUAUUUAAUAAUAUUGAUUUUGGCUCUAAGUUAUGUACACAUCGCCCGUCACUCUCAUUUUAAGAUGAG
RNAcentral lists this ribosomal RNA (543 nucleotides) under Appasus major. RNAcentral describes it as "partial 12S ribosomal RNA". The record is from RNAcentral. Lineage: Eukaryota; Metazoa; Arthropoda; Insecta; Hemiptera; Belostomatidae.